RNAcentral lists this ribosomal RNA (507 nucleotides) under uncultured bacterium. Its description in RNAcentral is "partial 16S ribosomal RNA". It matches the Rfam family "Bacterial small subunit ribosomal RNA", at positions 28 to 507 of the family's 1533-position model. The record is from RNAcentral.
GACGAACGCUGGCGGCGUGCCUAAUACAUGCAAGUCGAACGCAUUUUCCUUCAUCGUAGCUUGCUACACCGAAAGACAGUGAGUGACGAACGGGUGAGUAACACGUUGGUAACCCGCCCACCUGCGGGGGAUAACACUUGGAAACAGGUGCUAAUACCGCAGAAUUCCAUUUACCGCAUGGUAUAUGGAUGAAAGUUGUUUUUGCGUGACUGAUGGAUGGACCCGCGGUGCUUGUGCUAGGUGGUGGGGUCUAGGCCUACCAAGGCUGAGAUGCGUAGCCGGCCGCAGAGGGUGGUCGGCCACACUGGGACUGAGACACGGCCCAGGCUCCUGCGGGAGGCAGCAGUAGGGAGUCUUCGGCAAUGGACGCUAGUCGGAACGAGCAUCGACGCGUGAGUGGAGGAGGAUGUCGGAUUGUAAGUCGCUGUUGUUUGAGGAGAGCGAGGAUGAGAGUGGAAAGUUCAGCCCUUGACGGUAUCUAAACAGGAAGCCACGGCUAACUACGUG